AGGGCCACACUCAUGGCAUAUGGAAGUUCCCAGGCUAGGGGUUGAAUAGUAGCUACAGCUGCUGGCCUACCUCACAGCCACAGCAACACUGGAUCUGAGCCAUAUCUGUGACCUACACCACAGCUCAUGGCAAUGCCGGAUCCCUGACCCACUAAGUGAAGCCAGGAAUCAAACCCACAUCCUCAUAGAUACUAGUCAGAUUCAUUUCCACUGCACUGCAUGGGACUGCCAGGUUCACUUUUUAGAAAGUCUGGGUUCACAAAGGCAAUGUAAGAUGUUAACCAAGCAGUUAAUUUGCUCUGGCAGGUUAACUGUCUGUAAAUACUUGAAAGCAGGAUUUGCCUCAGAUAAUUCCAUGAAGCAGACAAUUUGCCCAAGGAGUCUGAGUUGACUACGCAAAUAAUAUCCCAGGACAAAUACAGUCCCUACCACAGAGUUAGCAAGGGUGAAAAAAAGAAACAAUAUAUUAUGCCAGUCUCUGAAACUUUCUAUAACUGAUCUGUAGAGUUUUAUCAACUCUUUAGUAUAUAAAAUAGAUGUUGAUAUAAAGAUAAUAAUUGCUUGGAAAACUUUACUCCCCAAGACAGCUUGCUAGUGAGCAAAUUGUCCAUACAUAGUUCAACCUAGAGAAGGAAAUUUCCUUUAGUGAUUAAUAUUUCUCAGUUUCAUGUGCAUUAUAUUCAUGAUAUACUCUGACAAUUUGGUGAAUUUUGAGGAAGAAAUGUGUCAUAGAUAAUCUGGCUCAUAAAAAAAUCAUCAUCACAAGAAUCACAAUUAAAAAGAAGCAAUAGAUUACUAGGAAAAAUAAUUUAGUUGUACAGUGCCUUUAUUUUUCUGCAUUAUCGCUCAUGCUUGGGUCCAAAGCUAUUCCUGCCUAUUAAUAAUAUGGAUAUCCUUGGAGUUCCCAUCAUGGCUCAGCAGUAAUGAACCCCACUAGUAACCAUGAGGAUGAGGGAUCAAUCCCUGACCCUGUUCAGUGGGUUAAGGAUCUGACAUUGCCAAGGAUGUGAUGUAGGUCACAGACGCUGCUGGGAUCCCGAAUUGCCGUGGCAAUGGUGUAGGCUGGCAGCUGUAGCUCCGAUUUGACCCCCUGGCCUGGGAACUUACAUGUGCCAUGGUGUGCCCCCGCCGCCCCCAAAAUAAUAAUAUGUAUAUCCUUCUUUCCUGAAACCACAGAAAUUGAGUUUAAAUUCCUUAAAAUGUGGAACAAAUUAUUCUAUCAGUCUUAAAAUUUUUGAUUGAUUUACUUAUUUCCCACAUCAUAUCUACUCCAUCACCUCUUGCUCACCUCUUCAACCACUUAAUUUGAGAUGUUUUACCUCUCCCUGAUCAGAAAGGAAAAUGCAGAAAGUAACCAGGCAUUCCUUUUCAACUUUUGAGGAAAGCCUGACUUUGUGUAGCUCUAUGAUACGUUAUAUAAUACCAAACUAUUCUUCAACUCAGUGACAGAAACAUCAGUAAAAUUGAUCUUUUUUGUUCAACUAAAUCUUUUAGUUAAAAAUAUCAAUAUUCAAGUAGCAUGCAAACACAGCUUAGAACUGGGAAGAUGUUAAACCUCUGCCUGAUGCCAAGAAAUUACACAGAGAAGCAGCAUCAUGAUACUCAGCCUAAUUUUUGGAGGUUACCCAGGACUGACUCAAUUUUAUUGCUGGUUUCACUUCUGUGAAUAAUUCAGUAAUCCUUUAAUUGUCCAGUGAUUUUGAUUCAUUUUCACAAAAUUUUGAAGUUCUCCUUCAAAAUAAUUUUUUGAUGUUGACUUAUACAAAAAUCAAUGGAACAUCUAUACUAUAAUAUUCUGGGAUAUGUAAAAAUGGUGAUGACAUAUUUCAGCUGUUUUUUUCUUUUCAGAAAUGAGGUUUUUCUAAGCUAGAAUAUAAAUGAUGUAGUUGAUAUAUAUUUAAAAAAGUUUAAAUGUGUUUUUUAAUGAGGCAUUUCUGUAUUUCCCAAGGCAAUUUGAGAUAAUCACUGUGUACAAUCUUUUAAAACAAUUUUCCACAUUUAUUUUUAAUUAAACUUGAGUAGGUUGCAAAAUCUCUCUAUUUACCUUCAAAUGAACAUUAUCGAAUUCCGCUUUCCCUCCCUCACUGUUCCCCCACCUACUCCCGGCUGAACGAUAAGGUGAACAAGAUUACCAUCCUUUAAAAAAAAAUUAAUCAAUUUUACAUUGAGCUAAAAUUCAUAUAUACUAUAUAUUGGUAUAUAUAAUAUAUAUGUUAUAUUAAUUUAAUGUACACAAUAAUUUGAUCUUUGUGUACACAAGUCUAGUUACCAUCCAUCACCAUAAAAUUAACCCAUUCUGUUUAUCCCCUAAAUCUUUCUCUUCUGAUAACCAUCAGGGUUUUUGUUUGCUUUGUUUAUUUCGAUUCUACAUAAAAGUGAAAUCAUAUGGUAUUUGUUUUUCACUGUCUGACUUAUGAUAUUCAUGAUAUCCAUGUUAUCAAAAAUGGCAAGAUUUCCUUUUUUAUGGAUGAUUGAGAUUCCACUGUGUGUGUGUAUACCACAUCUUUAUCCAUACAUCCAUUGAUGAACAUUUAAGUUGUUUCCAUAUCUUGGCUAAAGUAAUUAAUGCUGCAAUGAACAUUCAGGUGCAUGUAUCUUUUUAAAUUAGUAUUUUUGUUUUCUUUGGAUAAAUACACAGAAUUUGUAUAGCUGGAUUAUAUGGUAGUUCUAUAAUUUGAGGCAAAAUUUCAUGCUGUUUUCCAUAGUGACUAUGCCAGUUCGUAUUAUCAUUAACAGUGUAUGAGGCUUCUAUUUUCUCCACAUCCUCUCCAACCUGUGUUAUUUCUUGUCUGUUUGAUAAUAGCCAUUCUAAUAAGUGUGAGGUGGUUUUGACUUGCAUUUAUUUCCCUAAUGCUUACUGAUGUUGAAUGACUUUAUAUGGGCCUGUUGGCAGUCUGUCCUCUUAUUGGAUAUAAUUGCAAAUAUUUUGUCCCUUUCAGUGGGUAGCCUUUUUUUGUUGUUGCUGAUGAUGGUUCCUUUGCUGUGCAGAAUCUCUUUAAUUUGAUGUAGUCCCACUUGUGUCUUCUUCAGUUUCUUUUACAUUGUUGUUUUCAGUGUACAGAUCAUUCACUUAUUUGGUUAAAUUUAUUCUAGGUAUCUUACGCUGUUGAAACAAUUAUAAAUGGAAUUGUUUUCUUAAUUUCUUUUUCUGAUAUUUUAUUAUUAGUGUGUAAAAAUACAACAGACUUUUGCAUACUUAUUUUGUAUCCUGCAACUUUACUGAAUUUAUUUUUGAAUUCUAACAGUUUGGGUUUUGUUUUGUAGAAUAUUCAGGAUACUCUAUAUAUAGGUCAUGUCAUCUGAAAAUAGUGUCAGUUUUACUUCUUUCUUUCCAACUGGGAUGUCUUUUGUUUAUUUUUGCUUAAUUACUGUGGUUAGAACUCCCAUUACUAUGUCGAAUAAAAGUGUCAAGUUUUGUUUCUUGUUCCUGAUUUUAAGAGAAAAACCUUUCAGCUUUUCAUCGAGUAUAAUGUUAGCUAUGGGUUUGUCAUAUGUGGCCUUUAUUGUGUACAGGUAUAUUCCCUCUAUACCCACUCUUAAUCUCUUCUUCCAUCUGAAUGAUAAUCUUGUGGGGUAGAGUACUUUUGUUGGGAGUUUUGUUUUGGUUUGGUUUCCUAGGUUUUGUUUGUUUGUUUCUUUUCAGUAUUUUGAGUAUAUCAUUUCACACUCUUCUGGCUUGAAACGUUUCUUCUGAAAAUCAGCUGGUAGUCUUAUGGAGGUACACUUAUAUGUAACAAGGUUUAUAAGAUUCUCUCUUUUCUUACACUUUUGACAUUUUAAUUAUAAUGUGUCUCGAUGUGGAUCUCAUACGGUUUACCUACUUGGAACUCUGUUGAACGUGGAUGUCUUUUCCUUCUCCAGAUUAGGAAAGUUUCCAGACACUGUUUUAUUCAAAGAAUUUUUUUUUGCCUCUUUCUCUCUUCCUUCUCUUCUGUGAUCCCAAUAAUGUGGACGCUAUUCCACUUGAUCUCCCACCAUUUUCCUUAAGAUAUCUUCACUGUUUUGGUGAUUUCUUCUGCUUUGUCUUCCAGGUUGCUGAUUCAGUCUUUUACUUCUUUUCAUACACUGUUUAACAAUAUAUUGUAUUUUUCAGUUCAGCUGUUGUAUUCUUCAGCUCUGCGAUCUGUUUGGCAGCUUCUCAUACUUUAUGCCUCUCUGUUGAAGUUCUUGCUCUUUUCAGUAAUUCUUCUCCUGAGUUUAGUGAGAAUUUUUAUCACUAUUUUGAACUUUUUAUUAUGUAAGCAGAUUGCUUAUCUCUUUUUCAUUGAGGGUUUUUCUGCUGUUUUAUCUUAUUAUUUCAUUUGGAACAUAUUUUUCUGUCUCCUCCUUUUCUUUGACUCUUUUUUGACGCAUUAGGUGAAACAGUUACUUCUUCCAGUCUUGAAGGAGUAGCCUCGUGUAGGAGAUGAACUGCGAUGCUCAGAAAUGCUAACCUCCUUGUCUGCCAGAGCCAGGGGUUCAAAAGAUAUACCCUAUGUGAACUGUGGGUGACAGCCUGCCAAGGCAGGGUCGUGGCUGCGGUGCAGAGGGUGGAAAGCUGCCAGUGCCAAUGGUAGGUUAGAGGGAGAGGGCCAAAAUGGUGCCUGCCAAUGCCAGAAGUAGCAAGACUGAAACAGAACUCAAAGAUGGUACCCACCAGUGCCUCCAUCCUAUAAUGAGUCCCAGCUUAUUCCUGCCUCUCUGGCAGAAGUCCCAAGGUAGCAAGUGAAUCUCCUAUACAUAUGGUCUGCAUACCUUCAAACUGCCCUUCCUGUAAGAAUGUGCCAGAGCAAGUGAGUCUGCAUGUGAGCCCUUUAAUUGUUGGUUUAAGGCUUGUUAAUCAUUCUUGUGGAUUAUACUAUUUCAGUGAAGUAGAAGUAAAAGCUAAUUUUACAGGUGAAAUAAAUGGUAGAGAAAAAAUUUAAAAUUGAUGCCAAGAGUUUGAAAACACAAAGUAUGAGGACAUUAGAUUUUACCAUGAUCUAUUCCUGUAAUUUCUGUGGCUGUGGUUGUAACUCUUCCUGUUUCUCUGCUAGAAAUUACUGCUCCAAUUAGUUUAACCCUUUGAGACUAAACUGUAUGAUUUUCUUAAGCUCUCUAAUGGUUCAGGAGAAACUAGGGGAAGAAAACACAGCUCCAGAGUUUGCUGCCCAUUUCAUAGCCCAGAAAAUAUCACUGGCUUUCCCCUCGCAUUGUGAAACAAAAGGUAACAUAUCAACUUUUGCCUCUUGGGUAAUUGAUGUAUAAUAAAGGCAGAGAAGAACUGAUGUGACUGACCAGGAGCACCCUUUGUGCUUUAGGACAUGAAUUGAGACAAUUAAUCUGAUUUUUCUACAAACAACAAGGGUUCCACUUUACACUCAGAGACGUUUUUAUCUAAACCUUUCCAAGCGCACCACUCCAAGGAAAUGGCUCAUAAUGAUUUCCUUAUUAUCACUCCUGUCCAGAGCAGAUCUGAGUCAUGAUCAAAGAGAAAGUAG
Molecule: long non-coding RNA, 5459 nt
Filed under: Sus scrofa (pig)
Lineage: Eukaryota; Metazoa; Chordata; Mammalia; Artiodactyla; Suidae
Description: lncRNA (ENSSSCG00005028396.1)
Source: RNAcentral